GCAAACUUGGUCAUUUAGAGGAAGUAAAAGUCGUAACAAGGUCUCCGUUGGUGAACCAGCGGAGGGAUCAUUACCGAGUUUACCAACUCCCAAACCCCGAUGCGAACUUACCGUCCUACCGUUGCUUCGGCGGUGCCGCCCCGGGCGCGGGCCUCUCGAAGGCCGCCAGCCCCGGACCCAGGCGCCCGCCGGGGGACCCCCCAAACCCCUCUGCACCCGCCUGGCGGGAUCUAUUCAUUUCUGAGCCGACCGCUCCUCGCGAGCGGGAGGCGAGACAAACCAAAAAAAGAAAACGAAUCAAAACUUUCAACAACGGAUCUCUUGGCUCUGGCAUCGAUGAAGAACGCAGC
Molecule: unclassified non-coding RNA, 350 nt
Filed under: uncultured fungus
Lineage: Eukaryota; Fungi
Description: partial contains small subunit ribosomal RNA, internal transcribed spacer 1, and 5.8S ribosomal RNA
Rfam family: Eukaryotic small subunit ribosomal RNA (bases 1-73)
Source: RNAcentral